AACGGUUCUCAGGUGAAGCACCCCAGAAUCGGGCUCCUUCCUCUCUGAUUCUAGGUGCGUCACCCAAGAACCACA
Myotis lucifugus (little brown bat) is the source of this 75-nucleotide non-coding RNA. Lineage: Eukaryota; Metazoa; Chordata; Mammalia; Chiroptera; Vespertilionidae. The record is from Rfam.